Molecule: ribosomal RNA, 442 nt
Filed under: uncultured bacterium
Lineage: Bacteria
Description: partial 16S ribosomal RNA
Rfam family: Bacterial small subunit ribosomal RNA
Source: RNAcentral
CCUACGGGUGGCAGCAGUAGGGAAUCUUUCACAAUGGGCGAAAGCCUGAUGGAGCGACGCCGCGUGCAGGAUGAAGGCCUUCGGGUUGUAAACUGCUUUUAUAAGCGAGAAAUAUGAUGGUAACUUAUGAAUAAGGAUCGGCUAACUACGUGCCAGCAGCCGCGGUCAUACGUAGGAUCCGAGCAUUAUCCGGAGUGACUGGGUGUAAAGAGUUGCGUAGGUGGCAUAAUAAGUAGCUAGUGAAAUCUGGUGGCUAAACCAUUCAGACUAUUAGCUAAACUGUUAAGCUCGAGACCGUUAGGGGUAACUGGAAUUUCUAGUGUAGGAGUGAAAUCCGUAGAUAUUAGAAGGAACACCAAUAGCGUAGGCAGGUUGCUGGGACGGUUCUGACACUAAGGCACGAAAGCGUAGGGAGCAAACGGGAUUAGAUACCCCUGUAGUC